AAACCAACAGGGAUUGCCCUAGUAACGGCGAGUGAAGCGGCAACAGCUCAAAUUUGAAAUCUGGCUCUCGGGCCCGAGUUGUAAUUUGUAGAGGAUACUUUUGAUGCGGUGCCUUCCGAGUUCCCGGAACGGGACGCCAUAGAGGGUGAGAACCCCCCGUCUGGGCUGGAUGUCAAAUCUCUGUAAAGUUCCUUCAACGAGUCGAGUAGUUUGGGAAUGCUGCUCUAAAUGGGAGGUAUAUGUCUUCUAAAGCCUAAAUACCCGGCCCAGAGACCCGAUAGCGCAACAAGUAAGAGUGAUCGAAAGAUGGAAAAGCACUUUGAAAAGAGAGUUAAAAGUACGUUGAAAUUUUUGUUUUUGAAAGGGAAGCGUUUUUAUGACCCAGACUUGGGCUCGGUU
Molecule: ribosomal RNA, 399 nt
Filed under: Fusarium oxysporum
Lineage: Eukaryota; Fungi; Ascomycota; Sordariomycetes; Hypocreales; Nectriaceae
Description: eukaryotic LSU rRNA
Rfam family: Eukaryotic large subunit ribosomal RNA
Source: RNAcentral